Molecule: ribosomal RNA, 474 nt
Filed under: uncultured bacterium
Lineage: Bacteria
Description: bacterial SSU rRNA
Rfam family: Bacterial small subunit ribosomal RNA
Source: RNAcentral
GAUGAACGCUAGCGGCAGGCUUAAUACAUGCAAGUCAAGGGGGUAGCAAUACAACCGGCGCACGGGUGAGUAACGCGUACACAACAUACCAUAUACUGGAGUAUAGCUUUGGGAAACUGAAGGUAAUCCUCCAUAACAUUGCGAGAGGGCAUCUGAUUGCAAUUAAAGUUUCGGCGGUAUAUGAUUGGUGUGCGUUUGAUUAGCUAGUUGGUAGGGUAACGGCCUACCAAGGCGACGAUCAAUAGCUGGCGUGAGAGCGCGACCAGCCACACUGGAACUGAGACACGGUCCAGACUCCUACGGGAGGCAGCAGUAGGGAAUAUUGGACAAUGGAGGAAACUCUGAUCCAGCCAUGCCGCGUGAUAGAUGAAGGCCCUCUGGGUUGUAAAUAUCUUUUAUCUGGGAAGAACACUCCUAUUCUUAGGAACUUGACGGUACCAGAGAAUAAGCACCGGCUAACGUCCGUGCCAGCAG